Molecule: ribosomal RNA, 131 nt
Filed under: Galium asperifolium
Lineage: Eukaryota; Viridiplantae; Streptophyta; Magnoliopsida; Gentianales; Rubiaceae
Also listed under: 3 other names
Description: 5.8S ribosomal RNA
Rfam family: 5.8S ribosomal RNA
About the family: 5.8S ribosomal RNA (5.8S rRNA) is a component of the large subunit of the eukaryotic ribosome. It is transcribed by RNA polymerase I as part of the 45S precursor that also contains 18S and 28S rRNA.
Source: RNAcentral
AUACGACUGUCGGCAACGGAUAUCUAGGCUCUCGCAUCGAUGAAGAACGUAGCAAAAUGCGAUACUUGGUGUGAAUUGCAGAAUCCCGUGAAUCAUCGAGUUUUUGAACGCAAGUUGCGCCCGAAGCCAUU